AUUGAACGCUGGCGGCAGGCUUAACACAUGCAAGUCGAGCGGGGUGAUGGUGCUUGCACUAUCACUUAGCGGCGGACGGGUGAGUAAUGCCUAGGAAUCUGCCUAUUAGUGGGGGACAACAUCUCGAAAGGGAUGCUAAUACCGCAUACGUCCUACGGGAGAAAGCAGGGGAUCACUUGUGACCUUGCGCUAAUAGAUGAGCCUAAGUCGGAUUAGCUAGUUGGUGGGGUAAAGGCCUACCAAGGCGACGAUCUGUAGCGGGUCUGAGAGGAUGGUCCGCCACACUGGGACUGGGAAACGGCCCAGACUCCUACGGGAGGCAGCAGUGGGGAAUAUUGGACAAUGGGGGGAAACCUGAUCCAGCCAUGCCGCGUGUGUGAAGAAGGCCUUAUGGUUGUAAAGCACUUUAAGCGAGGAGGAGGCUCUUUUGGUUAAUACCCAAGAUGAGUGGACGUUACUCGCAGAAUAAGCACCGGCUAACUCUGUGCCAGCAGCCGCCGUAA
This 503-nucleotide ribosomal RNA is filed under the name uncultured bacterium. Its description in RNAcentral is "partial 16S ribosomal RNA". It matches the Rfam family "Bacterial small subunit ribosomal RNA", at positions 30 to 523 of the family's 1533-position model. The record is from RNAcentral.